CGGACGGGUGAGUAAUGUCUGGGAAACUGCCCGAUGGAGGGGGAUAACUACUGGAAACGGUAGCUAAUACCGCAUAACGUCGCAAGACCAAAGAGGGGGACCUUCGGGCCUCUUGCCAUCAGAUGAACCCAUAUGGGAUUAGCUAGUAGGUAAGGUAACGGCUUACCUAGGCGACGAUCCCUAGCUGGUCUGAGAGGAUGAUCAGCCACACUGGGACUGAGACACGGCCCAG
Molecule: ribosomal RNA, 232 nt
Filed under: uncultured bacterium
Lineage: Bacteria
Description: partial 16S ribosomal RNA
Rfam family: Bacterial small subunit ribosomal RNA
Source: RNAcentral